AUUGAACGCUGGCGGCAGGCCUAACACAUGCACGUCGAACGAGUGGCGGACGGGUGAGUAAUGUCUGGGAAACUGCCUGAUGGAGGGGGAUAACUAACGGAAACGGUAGCUAAUACCGCCUACCAUCGGAUGUGCCCAGAUGGGAUGAGCGAGUAGGUGGGGUAAAGGCUCACCUAGGCGACGAUCCCUAGCUGGUCUGAGAGGAUGACCAGACACAAUGUAACUGAGACACGGUCCAGACGCCUACGGGAGGCAGCAGUGGGGAAUAUUGCACAAUGGGCGCAAGCCUGAUGCAGCCAUGACGCGUGUAUGAAGAAGGCCUUCGGGUUGUAAAGUACUUUAAGCGGGGAGGCGUUACCCGCAGAAGAGGCACCGGCUAACUCCGUGCCAGCAGCCGCGGUAAUAC
RNAcentral lists this ribosomal RNA (406 nucleotides) under uncultured bacterium. RNAcentral's name for it is "partial 16S ribosomal RNA". It matches the Rfam family "Bacterial small subunit ribosomal RNA", at positions 29 to 526 of the family's 1533-position model. The record is from RNAcentral.